ACCACAAUAUACAGCUACUACUCAGCAAAUGGAACAGAGGGGGAGAGAUCAGCAAACAAUAAACCAGAAAUCCCAGCAAAUUGGAUACAGGCUGUGGAAGAACUCAAAACACAACUAAGAGAGGCUGAAGACAAUUGGGAAAAGAACUUAAAAAUUAAGAUGUCAUCUGGAAACAGAGGCACUUGAACUAAAAUAAGAAAAUAGUGUCUUGAAAGCCAAAAUCAACCAGCUGGAAAAUGAGGCAAAGGAGGUGAAAGAUGAGGCAAAGGAAAUGAAAGAUGAGGUAAAGAGGAUGAAAGACGAUCUACAAAGAAAAUCAGACCAGAAGGAUAAAGACGACCGAAAAGCCAGAGAUGAAAUCCAAUCUUUAAGAACCAGAAUACAACAACUAGAAUCAAGUGACCUCACAAGGCAGCAGGACACUAUGAAACAAAACAAAAAGAAUGAAAAAUUGAGGAAAAUGUGAAGCAUCUCAUUCACAAAACAGAUGAUCUAGAAAAUUGUUCAAGAAGAAACAAUUUAAGAAUAAUUGGACUACCAGAAGACCACAACAAAAGAAAAAGCCUGGACAUAAUACUAGAAGAAAUUAUCCAGGAAAACUGUCCCGAGAUCCUAGAAUAAGAGGGGAAAGUGGAGAUUGAAAGAAUCAACAGAUCACCCCCUGUAUUUAAUCCCCAACUGACAACACCAAGAAAUGUUAUAGCCAAAUUCAAAAACAAUCAGAUGAAAGAAAAGAUAUUACAAGCUGCCAAGAAGAAGCCAUUCAGAUACCAUGGAAACAUGGUGAAGUUAACACAGGAUCUAGCUGCAUCCACACUGAAGGACCGAAAGGUAUGGAAUACAAUAUUCCAGAAAGCAAGGGAACUAGGUCUACAACCAAGAAUAAAAUACCCAUCAAAACUGACUAUAUUCUUACAGGGGAAAGUAUGGUCAUUCAAAACAACAGAAGAGUUCCAAGCAUUCAUAAAGAAAAGACCAGACCUGAACAGAAAAUUUGAUGUCCAAGAACAGAACUCAAGAGAAUCAUCAAAAGAGAUAAGCUUGGGCAAAGGGAUUCUAUAGAAGGAAGAAGUCUUUAGAAACUGCUCCUCGCCCUAAAAGAAUAAGAAGGGGAAAAGAUUCUUCAGGAUCAAGAACUGGAAGACAUGGUGCAUAGCCUAGAGAAGAAUGGGAGGAAGACCACAUGGCAGUAGCAAAAACAAGUUACAAUUAUUUCUAAUUUAAUAAUUCAAUUUAUUCAAAAUUCAAAUGAACCUCAAAAUCUUGACUUUAAUUGUUUUCAGCAUCACUAACACCUCCACUAGAGGGCAGGCAAGGGCAUGUAGAGAAAACUGAAACAUUCUUAUGAAUGUUUGGUAGGGCAGAAUUUUUCAGACUUUGUUUAUUUUUUUAUUAUUUUUAAUAAUUUGUUUAUUAUUUGUUUAUUAUUAAUUUUGUUUGUUUAUUUUGUUUGUUUAUUAUUAAUUCCCUGUAUGGAACAAGAAGAUACUGA
Molecule: long non-coding RNA, 1492 nt
Filed under: Monodelphis domestica (gray short-tailed opossum)
Lineage: Eukaryota; Metazoa; Chordata; Mammalia; Didelphimorphia; Didelphidae
Description: lncRNA (ENSMODG00000032965.2)
Source: RNAcentral